GUGUGGACGCCAGUCUGCAUGGAGCCGGCCUUGAAAUACCACCCUUUAAUGUUUGAUGUUCUAACGUGGACCCGUGAUCCGGGUUGCGGACAGUGUCUGGUGGGUAGUUUGACUGGGGCGGUCUCCUCCUAAAGAGUAACGGAGGAGCACGAAGGUUGGCUAAUCCUGGUCGGACAUCAGGAGGUUAGUGCAAUGGCAUAAGCCAGCUUGACUGCGAGCGUGACGGCGCGAGCAGGUGCGAAAGCAGGUCAUAGUGAUCCGGUGGUUCUGAAUGGAAGGGCCAUCGCUCAACGGAUAAAAGGUACUCCGGGGAUAACAGGCUGAUACCGCCCAAGAGUUCAUAUCGACGGCGGUGUUUGGCACCUCGAUGUCGGCUCAUCACAUCCUGGGGCUGAAGUAGGUCCCAAGGGUAUGGCUGUUCGCCAUUUAAAGUGGUACGCGAGCUGGGUUUAGAACGUCGUGAGACAGUUCGGUCCCUAUCUGCCGUGGGCGCUGGAGAACUGAGGGGGGCUGCUCCUAGUACGAGAGGACCGGAGUGGACGCAUCACUGGUGUUCGGGUUGUCAUGCCAAUGGCACUGCCCGGUAGCUAAAUGCGGAAGAGAUAAGUGCUGAAAGCAUCUAAGCACGAAACUUGCCCCGAGAUGAGUUCUCCCUGACCCUUUAAGGGUCCUGAAGGAACGUUGAAGACGACGACGUUGAUAGGCCGGGUGUGUAAGCGCAGCGAUGCGUUGAGCUAACCGGUACUAAUGAACCGUGAGG
RNAcentral lists this ribosomal RNA (760 nucleotides) under Shigella sonnei. RNAcentral describes it as "partial 23S ribosomal RNA". It matches the Rfam family "Bacterial large subunit ribosomal RNA", at positions 2162 to 2916 of the family's 2925-position model. The record is from RNAcentral. Lineage: Bacteria; Pseudomonadati; Pseudomonadota; Gammaproteobacteria; Enterobacterales; Enterobacteriaceae.